GUAGCUAAAUACUAAGCUUUGUACCUAUGUAGGUCAGGUAGUGUAUGUUUGAUUAUUUUUAUGAACCGUUAUUAGGCGGGAUUUAUCCUGUCUAUUGAGACGGUGAGGUGGCAGUGCUAUGUGAUACUGCAUUAUUAUCAGCGAUAAUAAUAUAUUGCGGUUCAACACGUUUUACAUGAAUGCAAGGAUGAUUGUAUUAACAGUUGUAAACAAACGUUUGUACAAACAGCGUAUGUGAUUUAGCAAAGAAUCGAGUUGAUGUCUAUCUGAAUAUUUCUAGUGUAAACAAGCAAUUGCCUAAAUUUUUGUACGUAAUUCUUAGAGUACUGAUAGUGAUAGUGAAAUGGGCACGAAAAGCUAAUUUAAUUUGCCAUGUUCGUAAACUCAAUAUAACAUGAACAAACUUACUAUGUCAAAUGCAUAGUUAUUACACAUAAUAUUUUUUAAUAUUAACGAACAGUAUUAAAUUAGUAUUUAAGAAUAUGGCUAUAGUUUAGGGAUAGGCGAUAAAACUUUUAAUAAUGGUAAAUUUAAACGAAAUAAAUUUAUAUGAUAAAUUCAUUAUUUUCAUUUAUUGCUAUGUAACAUGAUUUUAUUUAAGGCUACCAGUACAUACGAACGUACACUACUACUAAACUACAGAUAAUUAAGUAAAAAAACUUGUAAUUCGCGCUGACAGUGACCGCCUACCAUAAAUAAUUAAAUAAGAUAGAAGUGACGAGUGAGUAGAUCGUAGAUCUACAUUUCAAGUAGGUAGUAGGAAUUAGAAAUGUCAGUCGCUAAACUUCAACAAAUUAAUAACUAUUUAAAUCUAAAUAUGAAAAAAUGAAAAAGUUUCAUAUUUUUGUCAAAGUUUCUAAUAUGAAACAAUUUGUUGUUUUUUUGAAUUUUCAACAAUACCUAUCUUAUUUGUACAGGCUGCAUUGGAACCAUUCCCGAAAAAAACAGCUGGCAGCCACCCUUCGUUCAAUGUACUCAUCGUUUCAUAAAGCAGCCACGGAAUUAUGAGAAUAUUAACAAAAGAAAAACUACUAGCAUAUCUAGGUAGAAAGAAUUCAAACCAUUUGGAGGUAGUCAAAAACGACAAGGAAGAAUGAAAGAUUAAUACCAAAAUGAAAGAUGAAGAAAAUUUACAUGUAAAUGUGUUUUAUAAAAAAUGAU
This is a long non-coding RNA of Bombyx mandarina (wild silkworm), 1161 nucleotides long. RefSeq lists it as uncharacterized. The record is from RefSeq and is a predicted model, not a curated record. NCBI's taxonomy places the organism in Eukaryota, Metazoa, Arthropoda, Insecta, Lepidoptera, Bombycidae.